RNAcentral lists this transfer RNA (63 nucleotides) under Cambaroides wladiwostokiensis. Its description in RNAcentral is "tRNA-Tyr". The record is from RNAcentral. Lineage: Eukaryota; Metazoa; Arthropoda; Malacostraca; Decapoda; Cambaridae.
GAUAGAAUGGCCGAGUAUAAGCGCUAAAUUGUAAAUUUAGAGACAAGAAAUUUCUUUUCUAUU